This 440-nucleotide ribosomal RNA is filed under the name uncultured bacterium. RNAcentral describes it as "partial 16S ribosomal RNA". It matches the Rfam family "Bacterial small subunit ribosomal RNA", at positions 338 to 795 of the family's 1533-position model. The record is from RNAcentral.
CCUACGGGUGGCAGCAGUGGGGAAUAAUGGACAAUGGGGGAAACCCUGAUCCAGCGACGCCGCGUGAGUGAAGAAGUAUUUCGGUACGUAAAGCUCUAUCAGCAGGAAAGAACCUGACGGUACCUGACUAAGAAGCCCCGGCUAACCACAGGCCCGCAGCCGCGGUAAUACGUAGGGGGCAAGCGUUAUCCGGAUGUCCUGGGGGUAAAGGGGGCGUAGACGGCAGCGCAAGUCUGGAGUGAAAUGCCGGGGCCCAACCCCGGAACUGCUCUGGAAACUGUGAAGCUGGAGUGCAGGAGAGGUAAGCGGAAUUCCUGGUGUAGCGGUGAAAUGCGUAGAUAUCAGGAGGAACACCGGCGGCGAAGGCGGCUUACUGGACUGUAACUGACGUUGAGGCUCGAAAGCGUGGGGAGCAAACAGGAUUAGAUACCCUGGUAGUC